This is a non-coding RNA of Phalacrocorax carbo (great cormorant), 3363 nucleotides long. NCBI's taxonomy places the organism in Eukaryota, Metazoa, Chordata, Aves, Suliformes, Phalacrocoracidae. The record is from RefSeq and is a predicted model, not a curated record.
CAGGAGCAGGCGGCAGCCCCCCGCCGCGCCGCGGCCCACCCCGCCGCCUGAGGCUCCCGCCGCCAUCUUGGUUGUGGGCAGUGCCCGGGCGGCGGCGGGGCGCGGCGGCGGCGGCAGGUCCCGCCCGCCACAGCCGGCACGCCGGGCCGGGAGGGGCCGCUGCAGAGCCCCGCCGGGCCGGGGGCAGCCGCGGGGGGCGGCGGGCGCUGCCGGCAGCGUGGUGCAAGCGCACCCGGGGGCGUUGGGCUGCGUCCGGCAUCGCCGGGUUUCCGCGGGGUUCCUUUAUUUAGUUAUCUAUUUGCUUGCUUUUGUUCCUUCCCGGAGGCCGCCGUUGAACGAGAGGGCAAGAAGUUACUGGAACCGGCAGCGAGCGCCGAUGGCCGGGCGGCACCCUGGGGACCGGCGGGAGGGGGAGCUCUGCAUUAGGAAACCACGCCUGGGCUCAUUUUGCAGCACGGUGGCGUUUGCUAUUUAAACCGGGACCCUCAGAACUCUGCCAGGAAUAAAGCAGGACGGAGAAAAGUGUCGCCGGAGGACCCUGCUGCUGCCCGGACUGGUGUCAGUCCAAGAGCAAGCCUAGAAGACUCCGGCCCCUGCAAGGCCAAGGCCGUGGAUAUGGAAAAGGACUUACGCAGCCGCACGUUCCACCAGGGCCUUAACGAGCUGCAGGAGGUGAGUGGAGAUGACAGAGAGGGAAUUCUUCAUGAAGAGCUUCAAGUCAGUCACAACCUGGACAAGACCAGCCACAGUCAGACAAAGCAGAAUGUGACAUACUUAGGGACCAAAUAGUGUUUAGCAGAAAGCCCUGGUAGAGUUAUCCCCUCCUUGUUCUACGGGAUGGGAAGGGGCAUUUUCCUCCCGCCACAUGUGUCCCUGCUCACUGAUCGGGGAAAGCCACUGUAUCUUGCUUUCCAUGGACAGGAUCAAAGCCCUUUCUUUUCAGCGGACUUUUGGGUAUUGUCAACUUUGGAUCAGAAAAUCCCCAACUGACACAAGUCAGUCAUCAGUAGAAGGACUGAUCCUGAAAGGACAGAUGGCACCCAGCCAGUAAAGUCACCGUUUCUGUAGGCCUUCAAAGGGAUGUCAUUGGAAGUCUGUGGCCUUAUACCACCAGGAAGCAAUGACAGAAUCCCAGAAUGCUGGGCGUUGGAAGGGACCUCUGGAGAUCAUCUUGUCCAGCCUCCCUGCUUGAGCAGGCACACCCAGAGCAGGGACUCUGCAGGGCCCAUUCCCCUGCGCGGAUGAGCCACUGCCGUGUCACUAGUUUAAAGCCCUAGGGAUUACAUGCCGGAGAGGGUCAGGGCACGAUGAUGUAAAGACAUUUGAUGAAGGAACUGAGGUAGGGGGAGGAAUACAGAAGGAGAAAAAAGCCAACAGUUCUCUACGUACCUGAUCAUUCCUGCUUCUUCCAGUGUGCAGUUUCCCAGCUAUGUCUCCAAUCAGCUCCUGAGGACAAGAAGAGGAUUUCUGUCAGCAUCUCGGUAGUCUGAGGAGGAGAGUCCACAUGAGUAGACCUCCACCCUGCCUGGAAGGGACUCAGCUCUGGGAUCCUGCAGAGGGAAGACCCCGGAGGAAACGGCAGGGACUUAUGUUUCAUAAGUUGCCCGAGCUCGCGUCCGCCAGAGCACCCCCGAGACUACCCCUCCAGUGAAGCAAAGUUCACCCUCACCUCGGCUGCCAUUUUGGUCGACGUUUUGCUCGUUGGUGCAGCGAUCCCGGCAACUGGUGCAACCUGCGGAACAGCGAGCGGAGUUUGGCAGGGUCCUGUGUUACUUGGCACUGGCCAUGAGGAACAAUGCUGGACAUUUGCUGCUGGGAACGAGAGAAAAUCUGUUCAGCUGAGGCUUCUGAAGGCCGCCGUUGAACGAGAGGGCAAGAAGUUACUGGAACCGGCAGCGAGCGCCGAUGGCCGGGCGGCACCCUGGGGACCGGCGGGAGGGGGAGCUCUGCAUUAGGAAACCACGCCUGGGCUCAUUUUGCAGCACGGUGGCGUUUGCUAUUUAAACCGGGACCCUCAGAACUCUGCCAGGAAUAAAGCAGGACGGAGAAAAGUGUCGCCGGUCAGCAGGGCCCCACAUUACUCAGCACUGACCCCCAAGACACUGAACAGCGGCUGCUGGGAACAAGCCAAAGUCUGUUUGGCUGAGUCCUGUGAAGGUACUGAUGAGGAACGAGAAGAUAGAAACAGGGAGAAAGUUCACGCGAGGAAGGAAAAGAACUGUGAGCCAGGGAGGAGGAGAGAAUCCUUUCUUCUGAACCUGUUGGUGUCACCCCUCCACCUGAAUUAAGCAUACAUAAUGACUUCCCUGCCACAGCCAGUUUAGCUGGAAGGCGAGGCAAAUGUAGUAAACCAGAGCACACGGCAGUAAGCAGCAGGGGACUGAGGAACUUCCUGGCCUUUCAUUCCUCAAAGGCAAGAAGGAGGAACAUUCUUCAGCCCUAGUAUGAGCAGCUUCUCCAUCCUGCUGCCUUCUGUAGCAGGCUCACCCGUCCAAACACUCGUCCAGCUUUGCUGCGGAUCAGCUCCAUACUAUCGGGGUUCUUCUUCUGAGGCAUGAGGCUGCUGCCAGUGCUGAAAGAAAAGUGCGUAGAGCGUAACGGUGAGCAAGACCCCAGUCCAUGCAGUCACAGGUCAUGCAACGUACUGGCCCAGCCCUCCAAAGGUGAUGAGUAGGUGCCCCUUCCCUGGACACCUUUGUAGGGUGUCGGAAAGCGGUGAACUAACCGGGUUUCUCACGUAUCCUAAAGCAGAGCUUUUGGUUUUGCGGUCUUGUCUGGGGCUACCACAGAGUCCUGCCUCUCAAAGGGGCAGCAAAAAGGAGGCUUCCCCCCAAGCCGUUCCAUAGCUGGUAUGAGCAGGCCAGCCCAAGUGUUGCUGUGGCCUCAGAGAGGGAGGGCUGUGGCUGUGCCACCCGGCGAGACAGGAAGUCUGUUAGGACUGCAAACCCGGCUAGUCAGGGAAGGGCUUUGGCAGGCAUUCCCAGCAGAGGAGGAAGUUCCCUCUGCCGGCAGUUGCUGGGGAGGAGUGUCUGCUGAAGGCAGGCUCGGUUGAGUUCCCAGAAUCAGAAAUAAGCGGUCAUUGCUGAGGAAUGUUCACCCUAAGGCUGCCUUUCUGCCAGCCUUUUAAUGCUGUGUCAGCCGUGUGCAGCAGGGUGACCCCAACCCCUGCCUCAUUCUCCCAGGUGAGGAUAGCUGAGGAGGAGGGACUGAGGGAGAGGGGCUUUCUGCCCAGAGUCCACGGACCUACCUGUAAGCAUCAGAGAAGGUUAGGAAGCCAAACUCGCUGGUACUGUAGAUGAUGAGAUCUUCGGCCAUCUUGCUAAGGUGGAUCAUCAUCAGGGUGGCCAUAGAGAGGAAUUCCAC